UAAUCCAAAACAAAAUUUAUAUCAUGUUUUCAAAUCAAAACUAAAUAUUUAUUAAAGCAUGAUCCAUCUAUUGUGAUAAUUCUAAACAAAAUUUAUAUCAUAUGCAUAAAUCAUAUUGUGAUAAUUUUAAACAAAAUUUAUAUCAUGUUCACAAAUCAUAACUAAGUAUUAAUUAAAAUAUGAUCCAAAAAAAAAAAAACUAAGUACAAUCAAGUACAUGAUACAACCAAUUUAACAAAAUAGAAACAAAUACUACUCAAUAUGAUCACUACCAACAUCCUAGCUGCGACAUUCUCUCUCCCAUCCAAGUAGGCUUAUUUUCCAAAUCUUUACGCGCAUCUUGCAUUAGUUGCGACAUCUUAGCUGCACUCCGUUUUUCAAAGUUGCGUCGCACCAUGUCGUUCAAAGUUAGGGGCCAUGUAAACCUUUUCUGUAAUGGAAAAAACAAAAAUAAUGGGAGAAGAUAAACAAAAUAGAUGAACAAAACAUAAACAAUAUCUUACACAAAUCAGUCUAGGAAUCAGGCUAGUUGAGAAAUUAAAAACCAUACAAUACAUAAGCUAACUAAUUAAUUAACCAAACAAAUUACAGCAUAAGCUAACUAAUUAAUUAACCAAACAAAUUACAGCAUAUAUGGGAAAGAACAAGAAACAGGAAACAGGAAACAGGAAACAAGAGAAAUAAUAAAAAAAAAAAUGUCUAUUCUAAAUGCAUACAGUUUUUGGAGCCAUAUUAAGUUAUGAACUCAAGAUUUAUGGUAUAUAGGCAGGAAGCAUAAAUUUUGCAUCUGUAUUGUCAGAGUCCAAUACCCCUCUUCCCCAAAAGCAUUGAUUCUCAAGGACUAGCAUUACUCAUUCCCAAUAAUUCAUAUAACUAAAAAUGAUAUAAUUUUGGCAUGUGUUGACAGUUUUGCAAAUAAGUGAAAACAUAAUAAGCAAGUAUCAGUUCUAACUCUAUGGAAAAAAGGUUCUAACCCAUUAAACUCAGUCGUUAUUGUAGAAAAAGAGUAAAGACAAUUUAUUUCCAAUAGCUCAAUCUAUCUAACUACCUCAAAUCCUUAUAGUAUUCAAUUAAAAAGGAGUACAACCACUCCCAAGUCAAAAACACUCAACUACCAUACCAAAAAUCAAGUAUUCAAAUUAAAUACUUCCUCAUUACAUAUCUUUGAUAACAUUGAUAAUCACAAAAUGUUGAACAUCUAAAUGUGUAAUUUCCGACAAUUUGUGCACUUCAAAUGCACAUCUUUCAAGGGUUUUUUAAUGGUGAAUAAGGAAAAAGGAGCUCCAUUAACUCAUUUGAUACUAGUAUACUAAUAACAAAUUUACUCUUGUGCAAUCCUUAUAUGUAAUGAAAGGCUUGUUUUUCUUCAUCCAAGUAAAACAUGUUUGCUUCAAUGAUAAUGAAAAUUGAUUUAUUUAGUCUAAAAAGUGUUAAUCUUCAUUUAAAGGUUAAGAUCUAUUCAUUGAAGUGAAAACAUGAAUUUUUUUACUGCAUCAAAUCUAUUUCCAUUAUCAUGCCUACUCAAACAUGGAUCAAACAGGCUUCNN
This 1547-nucleotide long non-coding RNA is filed under the name Cicer arietinum (chickpea). Its description in RNAcentral is "long non-coding RNA (CARI_LNC002006)". The record is from RNAcentral. Lineage: Eukaryota; Viridiplantae; Streptophyta; Magnoliopsida; Fabales; Fabaceae.